Molecule: small nucleolar RNA, 63 nt
Filed under: Euglena gracilis
Lineage: Eukaryota; Euglenozoa; Euglenophyceae; Euglenales; Euglenaceae
Description: Eg-m106 box C/D methylation-guide
Source: RNAcentral
CAAGUGAUGUCAUGCUUUGUGUCCUUCCCCUGACCACUGAUGCCGCUCUGUCUGUAGCUGAUU